This 460-nucleotide ribosomal RNA is filed under the name uncultured bacterium. RNAcentral's name for it is "partial 16S ribosomal RNA". It matches the Rfam family "Bacterial small subunit ribosomal RNA", at positions 338 to 795 of the family's 1533-position model. The record is from RNAcentral.
CCUACGGGUGGCUGCAGUGAGGAAUAUUGGUCAAUGGGCGCGAGCCUGAACCAGCCAAGUAGCGUGAAGGAUGACUGCCCUACGGGUUGUAAACUUCUUUUAUAAUGGAAUAAAGUGAGGCACGUGUGCCUUUUUGUCUGUACUUUCUGAAUAAGGAUCGGCUAACUCCGUGCCAGCAGCCGCGGUAAUACGGAGGAUACGAGCGUUAUCCGGAUUUAUUGGGUUUAAAGGGAGCGUAGAUGGGUUGUUAAGUCAGUUGUGAAAGAUUGCGGCUCAACCGUAAAAUUGCAAUUGAUACUGGUAGUCUUGAGUACAGUUGAGGUAGGCGGAAUUCGUAGUGUAGCGGUGAAAUGCGUAGAUAUCACGAAGAACUCCGAUUGCGAAGGCAGCUUACUAAACUGCCACUGACAUUGAUGCUCGAAAGUGUGGGUAGCAAACAGGAUUAGAUACCCGAGUAGUC